AAUUGAGUUCAGCAUUCAAUGUGACAGUGUGUACAUGCUAUAAAGUGUGUUGAUGAACAAAUACGAGUCCACUAUCGUUGUCUAUGUUAAUUAGAUUCCAGUAGUUUAUUUGUUAAUGUGGUGACUGAGAACAGAAAGACAAGAGAGACUAGAGUUGAUAACAAAAUAUCUUUAUUGAUUCCAACCAAUGUAACAAGCUUUCCUGUCUAGUAUCACAUAUUUGCAUAGUUAACGCUGCGCUGUUUCAAGUGCAGUCUGGAAUAAACGAUCCCACAGAUAAUUUAAA
Non-coding RNA from Pimephales promelas (fathead minnow), 286 nucleotides. The record is from RefSeq and is a predicted model, not a curated record. Lineage: Eukaryota; Metazoa; Chordata; Actinopteri; Cypriniformes; Leuciscidae.